UGGGGAAUAUUGCACAAUGGGCGCAAGCCUGAUGCAGCCAUGCCGCGUGUAUGAAGAAGGCCUUCGGGUUGUAAAGUACUUUCAGCGGGGAGGAAGGGAGUAAAGUUAAUACCUUUGCUCAUUGACGUUACCCGCAGAAGAAGCACCGGCUAACUCCGUGCCAGCAGCCGCGGUAAUACGGAGGGUGCAAGCGUUAAUCGGAAUUACUGGGCGUAAAGCGCACGCAGGCGGUUUGUUAAGUCAGAUGUGAAAUCCCCGGGCUCAACCUGGGAACUGCAUCUGAGACUGGCAAGCUUGAGUCUCGUAGAGGGGGGUAGAAUUCCAGGUGUAGCGGUGAAAUGCGUAGAGAUCUGGAGGAAUACCGGUGGCGAAGGCGGCCCCCUGGACGAAGACUGACGCUCAGGUGCGAAAGAGUGGGGAGCAAACAGG
Molecule: ribosomal RNA, 429 nt
Filed under: Chloroflexota bacterium
Lineage: Bacteria; Bacillati; Chloroflexota
Description: Chloroflexi bacterium partial 16S ribosomal RNA
Rfam family: Bacterial small subunit ribosomal RNA
Source: RNAcentral